AAAGACAAUACUCACGAAAAGCUUCUAACUUUUCUUCAAGCAUUUAAUUGUUUUA
RNAcentral lists this transfer RNA (55 nucleotides) under Macrolycus sp. UPOL 000828. Its description in RNAcentral is "partial tRNA-Ser". Lineage: Eukaryota; Metazoa; Arthropoda; Insecta; Coleoptera; Lycidae. The record is from RNAcentral.